AGUGAACGCUGGCGGUAGGCCUAACGCAUGCAAGUCGAACGGCAGCACAGUAAGAGCUUGCUCUUACGGGUGGCGAGUGGCGGACGGGUGAGGAAUACAUCGGAAUCUACUUUUUCGUGGGGGAUAACGUAGGGAAACUUACGCUAAUACCGCAUACGACCUACGGGUGAAAGCAGGGGAUCUUCGGACCUUGCGCGAUUGAAUGAGCCGAUGUCGGAUUAGCUAGUUGGCGGGGUAAAGGCCCACCAAGGCGACGAUCCGUAGCUGGUCUGAGAGGAUGAUCAGCCACACUGGAACUGAGACACGGUCCAGACUCCUACGGGAGGCAGCAGUGGGGAAUAUUGGACAAUGGGCGCAAGCCUGAUCCAGCCAUACCGCGUGUGUGAAGAAGGCCUUCGGGUUGUAAAGCCCUUUUGUUGGGAAAGAAAAGCAGCAGGUUAAUACCCCGCUGUUCUGACGGUACCCAAAGAAUAAGCACCGGCUAACUUCGUG
RNAcentral lists this ribosomal RNA (492 nucleotides) under uncultured bacterium. RNAcentral describes it as "partial 16S ribosomal RNA". It matches the Rfam family "Bacterial small subunit ribosomal RNA", at positions 29 to 507 of the family's 1533-position model. The record is from RNAcentral.